RNAcentral lists this transfer-messenger RNA (358 nucleotides) under Burkholderiaceae. RNAcentral describes it as "Caballeronia schumannianae_A Standard tmRNA". It matches the Rfam family "transfer-messenger RNA". From Rfam's summary of the family: Bacterial tmRNA, also known as 10Sa RNA or SsrA, is named for its dual tRNA and mRNA-like properties. The record is from RNAcentral. RNAcentral also lists the same sequence under 1 other name. Lineage: Bacteria; Pseudomonadati; Pseudomonadota; Betaproteobacteria; Burkholderiales.
GGGGGCGACCUGGUUUCGACAGGGGUUGUGAAGCGGUCAGGGCAUACCGAGGACCCGUCACCUCGUUAAUCAAUGGGAAAAACGUAACUGCAAACGACGAUACGUUCGCACUGGCAGCCUAAGGGCUAGCCGUCCUCUCACUAACUCGCUGACGGGUUGGGUAGCAAUACAACGAGAGGUCAUAUACGUCAGAUAAGCUCUGGUGGCGUCACGACGCUAGAGUCGAAAAUCCAGUGAAUCGCCGUAACGCAGCGUGUUCGUCCGCGUCGUUGCGGUUAAAUCAAAAGACAGAACUAAGUAUGUAGAACUGGUCGUAGAGCGCUUCUGGACGCGGGUUCGAUUCCCGCCGCCUCCACCA